GAUGAAGAACGCAGCGAAAUGCGAUAAGUAAUGUGAAUUGCAGAAUUCAGUGAAUCAUCGAAUCUUUGAACGCACAUUGCGCCCGCCAGUAUUCUGGCGGGCAUGCCUGUUCGAGCGUCAUUUCAACCAUCAAGCCCUGCUUGCGUUGGGGUCCUGCGGCUGCCCGCAGGCCCUGAAAACCAGUGGCGGGCUCGCUAGUCACACCGAGCGCAGUAAUACAUCUCGCUUUGGGCGUGCGGCGGGUUCUUGCCGUUAAACACCCCCUUUUUACCAAGGUUGACCUCGGAUCAGGUAGGAAUACCCGCUGAACUUAAGAAUAUCAAUAAGCGGAGGA
This 334-nucleotide unclassified non-coding RNA is filed under the name soil metagenome. RNAcentral describes it as "partial contains 5.8S ribosomal RNA, internal transcribed spacer 2, and large subunit ribosomal RNA". The stretch from base 1 to 120 matches the Rfam family "5.8S ribosomal RNA", at positions 35 to 154 of the family's 154-position model. The record is from RNAcentral.